Molecule: ribosomal RNA, 571 nt
Filed under: Microbacterium paraoxydans
Lineage: Bacteria; Bacillati; Actinomycetota; Actinomycetes; Micrococcales; Microbacteriaceae
Description: bacterial SSU rRNA
Rfam family: Bacterial small subunit ribosomal RNA
Source: RNAcentral
UGCAAGUCGAACGGUGAACACGGAGCUUGCUCUGUGGGAUCAGUGGCGAACGGGUGAGUAACACGUGAGCAACCUGCCCCUGACUCUGGGAUAAGCGCUGGAAACGGCGUCUAAUACUGGAUAUGUGACGUGACCGCAUGGUCUGCGUUUGGAAAGAUUUUUCGGUUGGGGAGGGGCUCGCGGCCUAUCAGCUUGUUGGUGAGGUAAUGGCUCACCAAGGCGUCGACGGGUAGCCGGCCUGAGAGGGUGACCGGCCACACUGGGACUGAGACACGGCCCAGACUCCUACGGGAGGCAGCAGUGGGGAAUAUUGCACAAUGGGCGAAAGCCUGAUGCAGCAACGCCGCGUGAGGGAUGACGGCCUUCGGGUUGUAAACCUCUUUUAGCAGGGAAGAAGCGAAAGUGACGGUACCUGCAGAAAAAGCGCCGGCUAACUACGUGCCAGCAGCCGCGGUAAUACGUAGGGCGCAAGCGUUAUCCGGAAUUAUUGGGCGUAAAGAGCUCGUAGGCGGUUUGUCGCGUCUGCUGUGAAAUCCCGAGGCUCAACCUCGGGCCUGCAGUGGGUACGGGC